AUACGGAGGACGCGAGCGUUAUCCGGAUUCAUUGGGUUUAAAGGGUGCGCAGGCGGCCGUGCAAGUCAGCGGUGAAAGCCCGGGGCCCAACCCCGGAAGUGCCGUUGAUACUGCAUGGCUUGAAUGCGGUCGAGGCGGGCGGAACGUGGGGUGGAGCGGGGAAAUGCGUGGAUAUGCCACAGAACCCCGAUAGCGGAGGCAGCUCGCCAGGCCUGCAGUGACGCUCGGGCACGAAAGGGUGGGGAUCGAACAGGAUUAGAUACCCUGGUAUUCCACGCCGUAAACGAUGGGCGCUCGUCGUCGGCGGCAGACAGUCGGCGGCCAAGCGAAAGCGAUAAGCGCCCCACCUGGGGAGUACGGUCGCAAGGCUGAAACUCAAAUGAAUUGACGGGG
This 393-nucleotide ribosomal RNA is filed under the name uncultured bacterium. RNAcentral's name for it is "partial 16S ribosomal RNA". It matches the Rfam family "Bacterial small subunit ribosomal RNA", at positions 523 to 918 of the family's 1533-position model. The record is from RNAcentral.